UGUCUAUAUAACCAUUCAUUGUGAAAAGCAUAUUUUUCCAUAUUUCCAUCUGACUGUUACUGAUACUUAACAAUACUAUUUUUUUUUUUUUUUUUGCAGGUAAUCAGAGGACUGCUGAAAUUUUGGCCCAAAACAUGCAGUCAGAAAGAGGUGAUGUUUUUAGGAGAAAUUGAAGAAAUCUUAGAUGUUAUUGAACCAACACAGUUCAAAAAAAUUGAAGAGCCACUUUUUAAGCAGAUCUCCAAGUGUGUCUCCAGUUCUCAUUUUCAGGUUGCAGAAAGAGCCUUGUACUUUUGGAAUAAUGAAUAUAUUCUUAGUUUGAUUGAAGAGAACAUUGAUAAAAUUCUGCCAAUUAUGUUUGCCAGUUUGUACAAAAUUUCCAAAGAACACUGGAAUCCGUAAGUUUUUGUU
Molecule: long non-coding RNA, 411 nt
Organism: Dipodomys ordii (Ord's kangaroo rat)
Lineage: Eukaryota; Metazoa; Chordata; Mammalia; Rodentia; Heteromyidae
Exons: 3
Source: RefSeq, a predicted model, not a curated record